This is a long non-coding RNA of Humulus lupulus (European hop), 1114 nucleotides long. RefSeq lists it as uncharacterized. Lineage: Eukaryota; Viridiplantae; Streptophyta; Magnoliopsida; Rosales; Cannabaceae. The transcript is spliced from 3 exons. The record is from RefSeq and is a predicted model, not a curated record.
UCAAUAUCCCAACAGAUGCUUGCCAUAGCUAAUUUAGUGAACUAGUCACAUGUAAUUUCUAACUGACAAUAAAACUAGCUUUCAGAUAGAUAGUUCGGCUUACCGAAUCAAAUUUGCUGAAGUAUUCAAUAUUGUGCUUCUGUCCAGCCUUUGUUUUGGACGGCCAAAAAAUUAACAUUCUGAUGCUUGCUCGAAGCAUACCUUGAUAGGUUUUCCUUAGAGUAGGAUCAACCUGUUAGACCCAAGCACAACCUUGCUGAAAAUUCCUCUGUACUUUUAUUGAGAUAAUAGAAAAGAAUUACAAAACCCAGACUUUCGAGAGGUCUAGAACUCUCCUACUCCAAACUUUUUAGGGGUUUGGAAACACUCCACACACCCAACUGUACAGGGUGAACAAGUCAAUGUGACGACCCAUUUUGAUACCGAAGAUGAUAAUCAAUCUUCCCAAGUUCCAUCAGGACAAACAUCUUCCUUUAAGCCAUGUGGAGUUACUCGCAGCUUGACAACUACAACUAUAGCUAAGGCAUAAUCAACUGGAAAGUUGUCAGUGACUUUUAAUGCGAAGUGUCGUCAACCAAUUUGUACUAAUGCUGAGAAAUUUAAUAAUGAGAUUGGAUUCAUUAUUCGGAAUCAUGGUACAUUUCAUUAUAAAGAGUGGACAAUGGUCCCAGAAGAUGUGAGAGCUCCAUUGCGACACUAUCUUUUGGAACAUUUUGACAUCAACUUGAAUGAUGAGACAACUAAAAAAUGCAUUGAUGAGCAAAUGAGAAAAGCUUGGAAGGGUCAUUGUUGGUAAUUAACCAACUUAUGAAGAGUUAGUUGAACGACUUAAUGAUACAACUUCCCGCCUUAAUGCUACUAACAAACAACUUAGUGUAGUUGUGGAUAUACUUCGUCAUAACAAUUUGAUGGCACCACCUCCAACAGACCAAGCUUCAGAUGAAAAUUUAAGAGAGUCGCCAUCUAUUUCAAUUCGGGAGUCACAAGAUGAUUCUUAGUUUAUUUACAUUAAUUUACUAAGGAAUGAACUUUAUGAAGUUUUUUUUAUUUUGGUAGGGGUAACCUUAAAAUGAUAACUUUAUGACUUAUUUUAGUAUUGAACAAUAUAAAGAAU